This 263-nucleotide unclassified non-coding RNA is filed under the name Hevea brasiliensis (rubber tree). The record is from RNAcentral. Lineage: Eukaryota; Viridiplantae; Streptophyta; Magnoliopsida; Malpighiales; Euphorbiaceae.
GCUCGAGGAGAAGAAGGAGAGCAAACUCCUCAAGUUCCUUGGCUUCAUGUGGAACCCGCUCUCAUGGGUCAUGGAGAUGGCUGCCAUCAUGGCUAUUGCGCUAGCCAACGGUGAUGGAAAACCUCCGGACUGGCAGGACUUUGUUGGGAUUGUCGUUCUCCUUGUGAUCAACUCGACAAUCAGCUUCAUUGAAGAGAACAAUGCGGGAAAUGCUGCUGCUGCUCUGAUGGCUGGACUUGCUCCCAAGACAAAGGUUCUUCGAG